Long non-coding RNA from Canis lupus familiaris (dog), 2125 nucleotides. RefSeq lists it as uncharacterized. The transcript is spliced from 3 exons. The record is from RefSeq and is a predicted model, not a curated record. NCBI's taxonomy places the organism in Eukaryota, Metazoa, Chordata, Mammalia, Carnivora, Canidae.
GCCCUGAGCUGGGCUCUGCACUGGGCGUAGAGCCUCCUUUUGAAAAAAUAAUAUUAAAUAUAUAUUUGAUCUUCAUUCCCAUUUCUGGCACAGAACUCCUAAAACCCUUAUGUAAUUUUCCUGCGUGACAGGAGGUCUUUUGUUGUGUUAAUGAGGCGACUUUGGGGCUGCUCCUGGGGCUGGCAUGGUUGCCUGGUUGCCGGGAGAACCCAACCUGGGACUGGAGGGUGGAACAUGCAGUCCCACCGGCCCCCCAACCCCAACACUCAGGGAAGGGAGAGAGGCCAGAAGUUGAAUCAAUGACCAGAGGCCAAUGAUUUAAUCAAUCGUGCCUAUGUAAUGAAGCCUCCCUAAAGGAUGGGGUUCAGAGGACUUCCAGGGUGGUGAACUGCAGAUUGGUGGGCGAUCCAUGUGCCACGGAAGCUGCAAGCCUUUCCUCAUGCCACGGCCUCCACGUCCUCUCCCUCUGGCUGUCCCAGAGUUGUUCCCUGCGGUGACCAGAUAAUCUCAGCAGCGCAAAGGGGAAAAUGGUGUGGAAGGGGCUCCAUUGGUGCGUCUGAAGACAUUGGACCAAAGGUGCUGAGUGAUGGUGGGAAGCAUCUGUCCUGCAGGGUCCCGGUGAUGAAGACCAACAGUUGCUGUACUAGGGAAUUCUGAGAAAAGGACAACCUGUCAUAGUCACUUCUCUCUGGUCUCUGUCCCUUCCAGCCUGGCCACAGAAUGAAGAGUUCAGACACAGCUAAGAACUCGUUGUUUGACAUCUGGGCCCUAGGAUCCCAGUCUAGCUGCUCUACGUCCUUGCUGUGAUCUUGUCUGGGUGAAACUGGUGUGAUUCCACCCACAGCAGGGGAGCUCAAAAGAUGAUUGAGCUUUUUUCCACCUGAGAACAGAGCCCCCCACCCUGACCCUCCUGCCAAGCCUCAGCAGAAAUGUCAGGCUUCCUCUCCCUGUCACAGCUGCCCAUAGUACAGGGGCAGUCAGUCCACCACGGCUUGAGGGAUUCCCACAACCCACUUGCCAAAUUCUCAGGCAAGAGAAAUUGCCAACGAAGAGAACAUGUCAUUUGCAGGAAAGAGACCAAGUGGGACAGAAGAUGUGGGGCCCAGGUGAGUUUAUUGAAAAGACACACCCACAGAGAAGCAUCCUGGUGAAAGUUCUGAGCUUCAAGGAUGAACUCUACCCUCAUUAGCCGGAAAGAAUGAGUUACUGACAAAGGAAAGAGAGUGAGGCCAUCCAGCAAUGAACUAUCAACAAUACUGAAGGCUCUGGAAGGCACAUGGAUAUCUACAGGCUAGUAGGAGGAAAGGUGGGUUAUGAUCAGGAAAUCUUGCUUCCAGUCAAAACAUUAUUAGAGGAGGGGUGGGGGGAAGACAUUUUUGGACAUGCAGGGCCUCAGAAAGUACACCAGCCAUGUGUUCUGUCUGAAGAAAGGGGUCAAGAAAACUCCAGAAAAUAACCCCCAUCGGAAAUCUCCGCAUGAGAGAAUUGAAAGAAUUCAAGGAAACAGUGGUGAAUAAGGAACCUUGUGUGAGUCAUGGUCUGAAUGGAUGACGCUAGUGUGGCAUGGAAAAAUGAGAAUUUUUGAAUCAGAUAAGGCUUUUUAGAGGGGGAAUUUCAAUAGCCUUGGCUAAAAUUAGAACUUAUCUCAAAACCUAGGUGUAAGGACGUGAAAGCAAAUGGGGAAGGAAAAGUGGUUUUAAGCUUUGUUGAGGUCCACCAAGGCACAGGGAAGGGCUGCAGAGCCAUUUCAUGGCACACAACCAACAACUUCAAGUUGCCUCCUAGACAAAAAAAGUCUUUGGUUCCGUUCUUCCACGGAGGAAAUCUUAAUGGUAGUAGUAAUAUCCCUCAAUCUCUCUCUCUUGUCUCUCUCUCUCUCUCUGCCUGUGUGUCUCUCUCUCUCUUUCUCUCACCCAGUGGUGUCCUUUCUUUGCCCUCUCAGUUACCCAUCCCUGUUCUUGUUCCUGCCCAUGUUCAUCUUAUUCUUCACACCAGGCAGGUUAGCAACAGAUUGCAAACUUAGCUCCUGGCCCACCUGCUCAAUGCCCAUCAGGAUGCCCAUCAGGAUGCCCAGUUGGACAAAAGGAAGAAUUUCUCCCUUAAAAAUAAAAAGAACUAGCAGAAA